ACAGGUUUGCACACACACUCACAGAGGGAGUGAGGGCUAUCUGUGGGCCCAGUCAUGCUUCACUCAUGCAGAGGUGUCUGUUAGCAGUGGGAGUUAUCAUUGGCCAUGGAGGCUUAUUCCUCUGCCAGGGGAGACCAUGCCAGGAAAUGACUGAUAACACAGCACAGCGACGACCGGCUCGCGCAGCAGCAGCACAUGUAGACCCGGGCAGAGAUGAAGGAAUGAUGGGAAAUAUGUGCACAUACAUCAUAAAGUGCAGCUCGGGCCCUCCCUCCUUUAGCCUUUUUCCACUAAUGACAUGUAUUUACGUUCCAUUAGCUCUGAAAGGGUAAACAGGAUUGAGGGAGCAGCUCACUCAGAGGUAGAACCACAUUUUUCUGAUCUAAUAUCUUAAACAUUAUUUGUUGCAACGUGAAGCUGCAAAAUGAAAAGGCUCAUAGAUAUAAUAAGCAUGGAGGGGAAUUGAUGGUUUGUGUGAUCGCCCGAGAGAGAAUCAUAACUUUGAGUCACAUGCUUGUGGUAUUUAAUUUCGGUGAUUCAAUUUAUUCACUGUAAUGUCGUCAUCUACCGCCAAAAUCGCUUUCCGUCUGUGCCGAGGAAAUCGGAAGGGUCUCGAUAUCCUUCACAUUGCUUGACAGUUGAAGGACCAAGGUUUUUUUUCAGGGGUUGAGUGUUUUCUUGUUUUAGACGGAAACGCUACUCCAGAAUUUCUGAAGAGCAACUGGGUGAAUUGAGGACUCUGGGUAUUUCCAGUAAGUAAUUUAAAACCUGCAUCAACAAGAGGCCACACAGAUCUUGGAUUCAAUUUGUGAAAUACGUUGAGUGAGGGAAAUGUGAAAUAGUUCAAGUAUUACAGUUUUUGAAGGUGGUGUGUUUUUGUUUUUAGCCUCCAGAAAUACAAGAAGAGAAGUGUAAGGAAUGGAUUUAACUGUAUUUAUCAUACAUUUUUCAUAUUUUUGGUGUUGAAACGGUAAUGAAUGUACAACUGUUCAUUAUCAAAAACACCUUCAGCCGGAGUCGAGAGCCUUUCAGAUGUGCUCAUGAAUAUACUGUACCUCUUAAUGGUGAAAAGCAGUCAAGGAGGACCAACGCUGCCCAUAACCACCCACAAUUCAAACAAGGUUACCUGUGGGCGACACCUGGAGAGGCGUUCAUUGUGCGCUUUGGUGAGCAGUCCUGUAAUAAACCUGCUGACCAGACUUGACUGGAAACAUGUAAAGACACUUUACCCUACCAUGAAGAAGUAUUUCACAAGUUACCUGUGGGCGACACCUGAAGAGGCAUUCAUUGUGCGUUGGUGAGCAGUCCUGUAAUAAACCUGCUGACCAGACUUGUCUGGAAACAUAUAAGGACACGGAAAUAUCUUUACCCUUCCAUGAAGAAGUAAUUCACAAAAAUGACUUUGCAGUUUGUGGCAUUGAGGUGAAAACAGGUUUAUCUGGAGAUUGCAUCAGUCCUUGUUCGACCCGGAGAAACGUGACAUCAAUGCUGCCGCCUGAUGUAUUCUUGAUUUGAAGUAAAAGAAAACUACUUUUCCUGCGAGUUCCUCCGAAUGUGACUGAAUCUGGAGACCCGACACCUUCAACGCAAAACCAAAAAAGCCAGUUUGUGUGUGUGUUAUCGCUGCACACGCCAAAUGAUGCAAGCAUGUGGUCUGAUAAUCUCACAGCAGAGACCGGCGUCUCUUUACUCUUUCUCCUGCAGCCAAACCUGUCCUGCUGAUAGCCGUUGAUAGUCUUACUCAACACUAUCACUGUGAAAAACACAUGUUGGCAGAUCGGGGAAUAGUAUUCCUGCUCUCCGAGGGCGAAAACGAAUAAGAGACAGAAAUAUUGCUUUGGUCUGCGUUUAAGGGGCAAUGAGGUUAACAUGCUGUCUGCAGAGUCCCAGUAAGCCCCCAGAGUUAAUCUAGGCCACAUUCAAAUAUGAAACAGCUACUGUAGGUUUUUCAGAGCUUAAUGUCUUUGAGACGGUGCUGCUGAUGUUUUCAAAGUAAGAUUUGAAUAAAUAAUCCCUUGCCUCUCUAAAAAAACGAGUAAGAAGAUCGCACCCUUGGGCAUAAACAACUUCAUCUUUUGAUUUCUCAUGGUUCGGAUUGUGCUUGAGUUUACCUAUCUGCCCACUCUCCUUUCUCUUAUCCUCAUUUAUCAUACUACAAGUUACUCUAAAUAGGUGUGAAAACAAUUAAAGCAAGUUGUUUUCAUUCAUACAACAAUAACACUGCGGUCUACAC
Long non-coding RNA from Sebastes umbrosus (honeycomb rockfish), 2233 nucleotides. RefSeq lists it as uncharacterized. The record is from RefSeq and is a predicted model, not a curated record. NCBI's taxonomy places the organism in Eukaryota, Metazoa, Chordata, Actinopteri, Perciformes, Sebastidae. The transcript is spliced from 4 exons.